GGAGUGAGUGCGCAAAUCGUCAGUGCCUGGAGAGCGUUUGAAUGACAUUCAAGAGGUCGUCGGUUCGAUUCCGAUUGGCUCCACCA
RNAcentral lists this transfer RNA (86 nucleotides) under Mesorhizobium sp. RNAcentral's name for it is "tRNA-Val". Lineage: Bacteria; Pseudomonadati; Pseudomonadota; Alphaproteobacteria; Hyphomicrobiales; Phyllobacteriaceae. The record is from RNAcentral.